RNAcentral lists this long non-coding RNA (139 nucleotides) under Dromaius novaehollandiae (emu). Its description in RNAcentral is "lncRNA (ENSDNVG00000016408.1)". The record is from RNAcentral. Lineage: Eukaryota; Metazoa; Chordata; Aves; Casuariiformes; Dromaiidae.
UUGAGUUGCAAAGUCUGUAUUCAGCUGAAUGAAUCUCUAGGGUCAUAAACACUGAUGUCCCUCUUUCUUUUUCCUUUUUUGUAGUUUGCAAUAAGGUGGAACUCUUACUUCCAAGAUACUGGCUGAAAAAUGGAGUUUA